GAUGAACGCUAGCGGCAGGCUUAACACAUGCAAGUCGAGGGGUAGAAGGAGCUUGCUCCUUUGAGACCGGCGCACGGGUGCGUAACGCGUAUGCAAUCUACCUUUUGCAGAGGAUAGCCCAGAGAAAUUUGGAUUAAUACCUCAUAGUAUGUGAGGAUGGCAUCAUUUUCACAUUAAAGUCACAACGGCAAAAGAUGAGCAUGCGUCCCAUUAGCUAGUUGGUAAGGUAACGGCUUACCAAGGCUACGAUGGGUAGGGUCCUGAGAGGGAGAUCCCCCCACACUGGUACUGAGACACGGACCAGACUCCUACGGGAGGCAGCAGUGAGGAAUAUUGGACAAUGGGCGCAAGCCUGAUCCAGCCAUGCCGCGUGCAGGAUGACGGUCCUAUGGAUUGUAAACUGCUUUUAGUACAGGAAGAAACACUGGUUCG
This 432-nucleotide ribosomal RNA is filed under the name uncultured bacterium. RNAcentral describes it as "bacterial SSU rRNA". It matches the Rfam family "Bacterial small subunit ribosomal RNA", at positions 28 to 460 of the family's 1533-position model. The record is from RNAcentral.